UCCUACGGGACGCAGCAGUGAGGAAUAUUGGUCAAUGGUCGGGAGACUGAACCAGCCAAGCCGCGUGAGGGAGGAAGGUACAGAGUAUCGUAAACCUCUUUUGUCAGGGAACAAAGGCGGGGACGUGUCCCCGGAUGAGUGUACCUGAAGAAAAAGCAUCGGCUAACUCCGUGCCAGCAGCCGCGGUAAUACGGAGGAUGCGAGCGUUAUCCGGAUUUAUUGGGUUUAAAGGGUGCGCAGGCGGUCUGUUAAGUCAGCGGUCAAAGCCCGGGGCUCAACCCCGGCCCACCGUUUAAACUGGCAGG
This 305-nucleotide ribosomal RNA is filed under the name uncultured bacterium. RNAcentral's name for it is "bacterial SSU rRNA". It matches the Rfam family "Bacterial small subunit ribosomal RNA", at positions 337 to 640 of the family's 1533-position model. The record is from RNAcentral.